Molecule: long non-coding RNA, 2221 nt
Filed under: Podarcis lilfordi (Lilford's wall lizard)
Lineage: Eukaryota; Metazoa; Chordata; Lepidosauria; Squamata; Lacertidae
Source: RNAcentral
GCGCUAUAGAGAGACUAAUGGGCGUAGCCCGCCUUGAAUUCCCAGUCCGAGGCGCACAAGCAGGCCCCGAAAUUGGCAGCCGAGAGUGUAUCCUCGCCGCGGCGUGACCCGUGAGGCUGGUGGCAGAAAUCUAUUAGCGCUUGCUUGCUUGCUCGCUCGCUGGCGUCUCCCAUUUCUCAUUCCUCUUCUCUUCCCCUCCUUUCCCGCCACAGAGAGAGAGAGAGAGAGAGAAGAGAAGCAUCAGCUUCGAGAUGAAAAAUUGCUCGCGGUCUAUUCAGGAGGAGGCAAAGGAAGAGUCAGCCCCAGGGGCAGCCCGGGCCUGAUUGAAAAAUAAGUUAAUUUCAGUUUGAAUCGAUGGGCUUCAGGCACUGAAAUAUCACGGGAAAUUAAAGCGGCUGCUCCCCGGGGAUCGGCGCCAUUGACCCGCGCUAAUUAAUGCCGUGGCGGUGAAGUUCCCGCUCGCUUCUCCGCGGCGCAGGCGCCCCCUCCCUGCAGUGGCACAGCCCUGCGCGCCCUCACGCCACCAGCUUUUUCUCAUUUAACUAAUUAGGCUGGAAAAUUGGGUGUUAAUUUGUUUAGGAAUCUUUCUCUCUCUCUUUUUUUUUUUUUUACUCCCCCCCUCCCCAAUAGCUCUUCUUUUCUCUCUUUCCCUUGCCUCCCUCCCCUUUCCCUUUCCAGGGAAAGCAAAUUCUGCCCCCGGCGGAAUGGAAAUGAAUGGAGGAUGGGGGGGCGCUCGCUGGCAGAUGGAUGCUCGGGGGUCACUCCGCAAUCUUCUCCGACUUGAUUGCUUGAUUAGGUCGUUAGCACAUUAAAAAAAAAAUUGCUCGCCGUCUGGCGCUGGCCUGAUGAGUGGGACGAGGCGGGAAUCGCCUGGGUAAUUUAUCUUUUUAUACGGCAAAGAAUUUGAUUUCAAUCUGCAGAUAUAUGGAGGCGCCUUUUGACACCUGUUUAACAUUAUAGAGCUGACAGCUUAACCCUCUGAUGACUCCGCUGGGCGGACAGUAGAAACCAGCCAGAACAGAGCAGCGGAGGUCUCUCCACUACCAUUCAUAUUGGGACCAGUUUUAUUUAUUAUUAUUUGGGGGGGGGGGGUUGGCUCCAGAAGAUCCCCUGUCAGGAAGGGGAUGGUGCCAGAGGGGCUUUAUAAGCGGAGAGAUGGGGAGCUGCGUGACGGCUGCUGCCAACAAAUACCUCCCCCCUCCUCCAUUGGUGGACCCCCUAUGAUUAGUUGCAGAAAAGACAUUUUUCAUAUACAAAUUUUAACUGCAUCAUAAACUGGGAAUUAAUAAGGCUGCAGUCCCAAGCACGUUUUGUACUUGGGAGUUAAAACCCCCAUCAAAUCCAAAGCUCUUCUUCUUCUUCAUCUUCUUCUUCAUCAUCAUCAUCCCACACCCAGUAUUUUUUUCUAUGUAAUGCUUUCUCGCCCGUAGUAAUGCAGUUGUGCUCUGGAGUCUGGACCUGCUUUAUGUUAAUAUAGGACAAGCACGAUGCGAUCCAGAAGUAACUCCCGCUGAAUUCAAUGGGACUUUCUCCCUAAUACUUAUGAAACCAGCCUUAGAAAUCAGUGGACUGCACAGGUAGUCGAGGAAGCAGGCACUUGGGGUACAGCUAUUUAAAGGAUUCCGAUGGAGAGGUGAACCCCAGGACACUUGGGUGCAACUCUUAGAUCAUGCGCAGAGGCAGCUUGAACUUGGAGGUGGCCAUGGAGGAAAAACUUUAUUAAUCAACCGGCAAUUUGCUGCCCCUUAAUAACAUCCAAAAAUGUGGCAGCAGAGAGGUGAACUGCCUCAUUCAGUUUAAUGGUGGGGUGCCCUCCUCCUGUCUGAGGUGGGAAACUGACAGGGGUUUGCCAUGGUGGAUCUGUUUUAUAAAGUGGAGCCUCUCUGGUGUGGAGGAAGAUGUCACUUAUUUAAAGCUUCUCUGAUCUAUGCCGUUGGUGCUUGCUUUCAGGGAUUGCUGCUGCGGCAGUUGUUUUAUUUUUUUAUUUCGUCUUUGGAAAGGCAUAUCCAUUAAAGUCUAAUCGAACCUUAAACUGGUAAGGCUUUCUAGGAAGGUCUAAGCAGCCAUCAAAGGAACUGCUGGAGAGAGUACAGGAUCUCAGGCAACCGUUUUUCAGAGAGUUGAAACUGGUUUGAGACAUACUUCUUUUGCUCCGUUCUCACCUCUUGUCAAACAGGUUUUGCAGUUACAGGUAGGUAGCAGUAUUGGUCUGCCGUAGUCG